Molecule: ribosomal RNA, 3272 nt
Filed under: Salmonema ephemeridarum
Lineage: Eukaryota; Metazoa; Nematoda; Chromadorea; Rhabditida; Cystidicolidae
Description: partial large subunit ribosomal RNA
Rfam family: Eukaryotic large subunit ribosomal RNA
Source: RNAcentral
CGAGGAUUCUCCCAGUAACGGCGAGUGAACGGAGAUGAGCCCAGCGCUGAAUCAUCGCGUCGCAUUGGCCCGAUGAGCUGUAGCGUAUAGGUGCAACUGUCCCGCUGUUUCGUGCACUCAAAGUCCCCUUGAGCGGGGCCACAGUCCAUAGAAGGUGCUAGACCUGUACGGGUGACGAAGCAUCGGGUGGGUUGCCCCUUGGAGUCGGGUUGCCUGAGAUCGCAGCCCAAAGUGGGUGGUAAACCUCAUCUAAGGCUAAAUAUGGCCACGAGACCGAUAGCAAACAAGUACCGUGAGGGAAAGUUGCAAAGAACUCUGAAAAGAGAGUUCAAGAGGACGUGAAACCGCUGGGAAGGAAGCGAAUAGAGUCGACGAAACCUGUCGUCAUUCAACCGAUCAGUCCUGCGGCCUGUCGUCGCCCUACCGCAUGCAACACUACGGAGCGCUGCGGCGACAGUCACUGCUGGGCGGAGUCAAGCCUGUGUGAUCGGUGCAUUUGACGGCGGUAUGCGCCGAGGGCCGCGUUCACGUGUGCACCCAAACUUCCGGUCCAGUGGACCGGUCGCCUCAGGCGGCCGGAAACCUAUACCGGGUUCUGGUGUAUCACCGAUUCGGUCAACAGCCGCGUACAGCAACCCCCGCAUUUCGCGCGUACUCAUCCUUUGGUCACGCACUGACGUGACACGUGCGCUUGCGCAUCGUGUCCGACACGUGCUCAUCCAACUGGGCGGGACACACGCGUCGGGGUUGUGUCUCGGCGUGAGCGUCGAUCACCUAUUCGACCCGUCUUGAAACACGGACCAAGGAGUCUAGCAUAUGCGCAAGUUAUUGGGUGGUAAACCCCAACAAAACGCAAUGAAAGUGAACGGCCGUCAGUCUGUGUGCGCUGCACUCGUGCAGCUUGCGGUGCACAAACGACCGCAAAAUGUGAGCCGGGCGCCCGGAGACGCGCCCGGCGCAACAUUGCCCCGUCCCGGUUGCCCUCGGCAACGGGGCGGAAGUAGAGCGCAUACGCUGGGACCCGAAAGAUGGUGAACUAUGCCUGAGCAGGAUGAAGCCAGAGGAAACUCUGGUGGAGGUCCGAAGCGAUUCUGACGUGCAAAUCGAUCGUCUGACUUGGGUAUAGGGGCGAAAGACUAAUCGAACUAUCUAGUAGCUGGUUCCCUCUGAAGUUUCCCCCAGGAUAGCUGGAGCACAUGCAAGAGCAGUUAUAUUCGGUAAAGCGAAUGAUUAGACGUAUUGGGGACGAAACGUUCUCAACCUAUUCUCAAACUUUCAAUGGGUAUGACGUUCCGCUUGCUUAACGCAUCGCAUCUCGCACACUCUGUGUGAAGCGUGAACACUGGAAUGUGUGCUCCAAGUGGGCCAUUUUUGGUAAGCAGAACUGGCGCUGUGGGAUGAACCAAACGUCGAGAUAAAGUGCCAAACUUCCCGCUCAUGAGACCCCAUGAAAGGCGUUGGUUGAUAUAGACAGCAGGACGGUGGCCAUGGAAGUCGGAAGCCGCUAAGGAGUGUGUAACAACUCACCUGCCGAAUCAACUAGCCCUGAAAAUGGAUGGCGCUUGAGCGGGAGACUUAUACUCGACCGUUGCUCGGCCUGUGCACAACACACAAACGAUGCCUGGCCGCAACGAGUAAGAGGGUCGCAGUGGUACGCGUCGAAGACUUUGGGCGUAGGCCCGGUUGGAGCUUCCACUGGUGCAGAUCUUGGUGGUAGUAGCAAAUAUUCAAGUGAGAUCCUUGAAGACUGAAGUGGAGAAGGGUUCCUCGUGAACAGCAGUUGGAUGCGGGUCAGUCGAUCCUAAGAUACCGGCUAAUGCCGUACACUCAUCUGAGACUCGGAGUUCAAAUCCAUCUCGGCCAUCGAAAGGGAAACGGGUUUAUAUUCCCGUACCUGGACACGGAGAUUGAGCGCCCAUUGCGGGCGCCCAGCGCGGCAACGCAAACCAACUCGGAGACGUUGCACAGAGCCCGAGCCAGAGUUCUCUUUUCUGGUUAAGGAACGGACUCCCUGGAAUCGAUUCACUCGGCGAUAGGGACGUUGUUUCCGUAAAGCGUCACGGUUACGGUGGCGUCUCGUGCGCUCCGUUCGACCCAUGAAAAUCCGAGCGAGGCUAUUCGAAUUUCGUGCCAGAUCGUACCGAUAUCCGCAGCAGGUCUCCAAGGUGAACAGCCUCUAGUCGAUAGAAUAAUGUAGGUAAGGGAAGUCGGCAAAUUUGAUCCGUAACUUCGGGAAAAGGAUUGGCUCUAAGGACUGGGCCGGUCGGGCUGCUGCGCGAAGUGGGCACGGUUUAACGCGUGCAGUGCAACGCGUGCUCACGCACGUGGAGCUCGGCUAGUGUUUCGACUGUCCUAUGGACCACAGCAGCUGUGCACCCUGCCCCUAACAGGGUAGUCGUGCUUCGUCCGGCGCUAAACAGUCAGCUUAGAACUGGCACGGACUCGGGGAAUCCGACUGUCUAAUUAAAACAGAGGAGACAGAUGGUCCUCGCGGACGCUGACUGUCUCUGAUUUCUGCCCAGUGCUCUGAAUGUAAAAGUGAAGAAAUUCAACCAAGCGCGGGUAAACGGCGGGAGUAACUAUGACUCUCUUAAGGUAGCCAAAUGCCUCGUCAGCCAAUUACUGACGCGCAUGAAUGGAUUAUCGAGAUUCCUACUGUCCCUAUCUACUAUCUAGCGAAACCACAGCCAAGGGAACGGGCUUGGCAAACACAGCGGGGAAAGAAGACCCUGUUGAGCUUGACUCUAGUCCGACUCUGUGAAGAGUCAUGAGAGGUGUAGCAUAAGUGGGAGGCUUUGCCAACAGUGAAAUACCACUACUUUCAUCGAUUCUUUACUUAUUCGGUAAGACGAGAAUUGAACCUAAACGGUUCUUCAUUCUGGUACAAAGUGCAGCCGCUUGGUGGCCGUACGACUCGCGCCGAAGACAGUGUCAGGCGGGGAGUUUGACUGGGGCGGUACAUCUGUCAAAUCGUAACGCAGGUGUCCUAAGGCUAGCUCAGAGAGGACGGAAACCUCUCGUAGAGUAAAAGGGCAAAAGCUCGCUUGAUCUUGAUUUCCAGUACGAAUACAGACCGCGAAAGCGUGGCCUAUCGAUCCUUUUGAAUUAGAAGGUCUCUAGCAAGAGGUGUCAGAAAAGUUACCACAGGGAUAACUGGCUUGUGGCAGCCAAGCGUCCAUAGCGACGUUGCUUUUUGAUCCUUCGAUGUCGGCUCUUCCUAUCAUUGCGAAGCAGAAUUCGCCAAGCGUUGGAUUGUUCACCCACCAAUAGGG